CAUUAGGCUCUGACACACUCAUAAGUAUCAAGCAAUAUCAUACUCGACCUUAUGGUUGUUAGAGAUAAUGCUAAUUAGAUUAGGAUUAGAUUAUUUGAUAUUAUCCAUUAUUAUAUUCGGUUAUGAUUAAAAUAUAUUCGGUUAUUAUUUAAAUGAUGGUUAAGAUGAAAUCUAAUUAGAGUAGGAUUAUAUGUAAUUAGUUAUAAAUAGAUAGGUUGGGAUUAUUUGGUUAAUGAAGCUGGGAGUCGCCAUAAUUAAUUAGCGCUCGCCAAAGGUUGCAUAUGGUGAUGAGUUAUGUUCUUCAAUAAAGUUAUUUUGUUUUUCUUCCAUGACAACGUACCAGAUUUUUUGAUUUGUCUUCUUCCUCUCUCGUUUUUUUCUAUUUUACUUUUUGUGGAGAUCUCUCUAUACCAUAACAAGUAUAUAGAACGUAUUUGUUAGUGGCCCAUCACCGUAACAAGUGGUAUCAGAGCCUAGAUUUCGAGAGGAGAAGGUGUUGAUAGCGUUUAACAGCGCUAAUGGAGUUGCACAAGGAUUCCCAAUUUUCAAGGGGGACAAUUAUGAUUUUUGGUGCGUGAAGAUGCGGACGUUACUGCGAUCCCAAGAUUUAUGGGAUUUUGUCGAAAAAGGAUGCAAGGAAACAACCGGAGAGAAUCUGAAAAAGAUGCAAAGGCGUUUUUUUUUAUUCAGCAAUCAGUUGACGAUUCUAUAUUUUCUCACAUUGCCGGUGCUACUAAAUCAAAGGAAGUAUGGGAUAUAUUACAGAAGGAAUACCAAGGUAAUGAAAAGGUACUUAGAGUUAAAAUUCAAAUUUUAAAAAGAAGAUUUGAAACUUCUUUUAUGCAAGAAAAUGAAAAUAUUCAUACUUUUUAUUCUAAAGUUAUGGAAUUAGUUAUCUUGAUGCGUACAUAUGGUGAACAGAUUACUGAUCAAACAGUAGUCGAAAAAAUUUUAAGAAGUCUAACGAAAAAAUAUGGUGAUGUUGUUUCUGCUAUAGAAGAGGCAAAAGAUUUAUCUAAAUUAUCUUGUAGCGAACUUCUUGGUUCUCUUUUAGUACAUGAAGAACGAAAAGAUAGAACUGAAAAUUUUUCUGAGCAUGCUUUUCAAAGUGAAUCGAAAAGCGAUGAAAAAGAUGGUGCCGAUUCUUCUAAUUAUCAAGCUUUAGCAUACGGUGGCUAUAGUAGAGGCCGUGGUCGUGGCCUAGGCAGAGACCGCGGAGGUAGAUCGGGUGAUUUCAACAACAGAAACGAUGAAAGAUCGGGUAAUCAAAAUCAGAGAACCUACGGAGGUAACGAUGAAUCUCGUAAUCGUAAAAAUAUUCAAUGCUAUUAUUGUAAAAAAUUUGGCCAUAUCGAGCGCUUUUGUCGAUUGAAACAACAAAAUGUGAAUUUUGUUUGUGAAAAGAAUGAAAACGAUAAUGUACUUUUUACAUGUCGUUCAUUAGAAAAAAUUACUAACAAUAUUUGGUAUGUCGAUAGUGGUUGUAGCAGUCACAUGACAGGAAAAGAAGAGAACUUUAUUAAUUUGGACAAAUCAGUUAAAGGCCGGGUGACGAUAGGUGACGGUUAUGUCCAUGACGUGCACGGAAGAGGUACAAUUGCGGUAAAUAUUUCUGGAAUGCAAAAAAUAAAUAAUGUCUUAUAUGUUUCAGGAUUAAAUUCCAAUCUUUUUAGUGUGGGUCAAUUUUUGAAAGAAGGUCAUUCGCUUAUUUUUGAAGAUUCUAAGUGCACAAUUUAUGAAGAUAAAGAUAAAAAGAAUUUGCUUUUUGAAGUUCCAAUGACAGAAAAUAAAAUUUUUCCUGUUCAUGUUGCAAUGAAAGUAGUGCUAGAUGAUGAUUGGUUAUGGCACUAUCGAUAUGGUCAUUUGAGUUUUAAGGGACUUGAUCUAUUACAUAAAAAGAAUAUGGUUGAUGGUUUGCCUUUGGUGCAUAAUAAUAAUUCUGUAUGUGAAAGUUGUGUGCUAGGAAAGCAUCACAGGAACUCUUUUCCGAGAAAGAGCAAUAGGAGAGCCAAAGAACCAUUAGAAUUAAUACAUGCAGAUGUAUGCGGACCGAUGUAGACACCGUCGCUCAGCAUCAAUUACUACUUUGUAGUUUUCGUGGAUGAUUAUAGCCGGAUGACUUGGGUUUAUUUUAUCAAAAAUAAAUCCCAAGCUUUUGAUGUUUUUCAGAAAUUUAAAAAUUUGAUUGAGAACGAAUCUGGUUAUUAUAUUAGCACCCUUUGUACAGAUUGAGGGGAAGAAUUUAUUUCUAACAAGUUUGAAAAUUUUUGUAAGGCUAAUGGUAUCCACAGACAGUUGACAACCAGUUACACACCUCAGCAGAACGGAAUUGCAGAGCGCAAAAAUCGAAGUUUAGUGGGGAUGGCAAAAAGCAUGUUGAAAGCGAAAAAUCUCCCGAACAAAUUUUGGGCAGAAGCGGUAUCUACUGCAGCAUACAUUCUCAAUAGAAGUACAACUUUAGCGCUGGAGAAUAUUACACCUUAUGAAGUAUGGACGGGGUGGAAACCGAAGGUAAAACACUUUAAAAUUUUUGGAUCAGCUUCUUUUGUUCAUACCCCAUCACAAAAUAGGCAAAAAUUGGAUGAUAAUAGUCAGAAGUGUAUUUUUGUUGGAUAUAGUGAAAGAAGUAAAGCUUAUCGAUUUUAUAAUCCUACUACUAACUCUUUAAUUAUAAGUCGUGAUGCUAUAUUUGAUGAACAAAAAGCUUGGGAUUGGAGCGCAAAAGUGCAGGAUAAUCCACUUUUGAUAUUCGAAAAUGAAACUGCAACUGAAAAUAGAAACAAUGGCGAAAACACGACAAGCACAGAAACAACACCACAAGCUUCACCAUGAAUUUCACCAGAAACUUCUCCAGAGACAACGCCAAGAAAAGUAAGAUCACUUAGUGAAAUAUAUGAACAGUGCAUGUAUUCACAAUGUGGAGAAUCACAAAACUGCGAAAAGGUGGCAAAAUCUAAUGAUUGGUAUAAGGCGACGAACAAAGAAAAUGCAGCGUUAAGGAAAAAUAAUAUCUACGAGUUUGAUGAAUCGCCUAUAGAUAAAGAAGUUAUUGGAUUUAAGUUGAUAUAUAAGGCGAAAAUGAUAUUGAGAGAUUUGAAAGGAACAAGAGACCACCGGUUGUGGUAUACUAAUCCUAACGAUUUUUAUUUUGGUUAUUUUAAUAGUGGUUGGACAGAUUCAGUUGAUGAUCGAAAAAGUACGAGAAGGGUUCGAGUUGAUACACUAAGCAACCGAGGAGCAGAUGGCGGAUAUUUUCAUAAAGUCGCUAACAUUGGAGAAAUUCAUAUUUUGCCGAGAAAAGAUCGGUGUGAAGGACAUUAGCAUUAUGGGGGAGUGUUAGAGAUAAUGCUAAUUAGAUUAGGAUUAGAUUAUUUGAUAUUAUCCAUUAUUAUAUUCAGUUAUGGUUAAGAUAUAUUCGGUUAUUAUUUAAAUGAUGGUUAAGAUGAAAUCUAAUUAGAGUAGGAUUCUAUGUAAUUAGUUAUAAAUAGAUAGGUUGGGAUUAUUUGGUUAAUGAAGUCGGGAGUCGCCAUAAUUAAUUAGCGCUCGCCGAAGGUUGCAUAUGGUGAUGAGUUUUUUUCUUCAAUAAAGUUAUUUUGUUUUGCUUCCAUGACAACGUACCAGAUUCUUUGAUUUGUCUUCUUCCCCUCUCGUUUUUUCUAUUUUACUUUUUGUGGAGAUCUCUAUAUACCAUAACAAGUAUAUAGAACGUAUUUGUUGGUGGCCCAUCACCGUAACAAUGGUGAGCUGUGCUCCACCCACAUGAUCGAUUCUACAAAU
This 3777-nucleotide long non-coding RNA is filed under the name Ananas comosus (pineapple). RNAcentral describes it as "long non-coding RNA (ACOM_LNC025490)". The record is from RNAcentral. Lineage: Eukaryota; Viridiplantae; Streptophyta; Magnoliopsida; Poales; Bromeliaceae.